This 424-nucleotide ribosomal RNA is filed under the name uncultured bacterium. RNAcentral's name for it is "partial 16S ribosomal RNA". It matches the Rfam family "Bacterial small subunit ribosomal RNA", at positions 354 to 796 of the family's 1533-position model. The record is from RNAcentral.
GUGGGGAAUCUUGCGCAAUGGGCGAAAGCCUGACGCAGCCAUGCCGCGUGAAUGAUGAAGGUCUUAGGAUUGUAAAAUUCUUUCACCGGGGACGAUAAUGACGGUACCCGAGAAGAAGCCCCGGCUAACUUCGUGCCAGCAGCCGCGGUAAUACGAAGGGGGCUAGCGUUGCUCGGAAUUACUGGGCGUAAAGGGCGCGUAGGCGGAUCGUUAAGUCAGGGGUGAAAUCCCAGAGCUCAACUCUGGAACUGCCCUUGAUACUGGCGAUCUUGAGUGUGAGAGAGGUAUGUGGAACUCCGAGUGUAGAGGUGAAAUUCGUAGAUAUUCGGAAGAACACCAGUGGCGAAGGCGACAUACUGGCUCAUUACUGACGCUGAGGCGCGAAAGCGUGGGGAGCAAACAGGAUUAGAUACCCGAGUAGUCC